GACGAACGCUGGCGGCGUGCUUAACACAUGCAAGUCGAGCGGUAAGGCCCUUUCGGGGGUACGACGAGCGGCGAACGGGUGAGUAACACGUGGGUGACCUGCCCUCAGCUCUGGGGAUAAGCCUAGGGAAACCGGGUCUAAUACCGGAUAUGACUCCAUGACGCAUGUUGUGGGGUGAAAGCCUUGUGCGGCUGAGGAUGGGCCCGNGGCCUAUCAGCUUGUUGGUGGGGUGANGGCCUACCAAGGCGACGACGGGUAGCCGGCCUGAGAGGGCGACCGGCACACUGGGACUGAGGCACGGCCCAGACUCCUACGGGAGGCAGCAGUGGGGAAUCUUGCG
Molecule: ribosomal RNA, 340 nt
Filed under: uncultured bacterium
Lineage: Bacteria
Description: bacterial SSU rRNA
Rfam family: Bacterial small subunit ribosomal RNA
Source: RNAcentral